RNAcentral lists this ribosomal RNA (230 nucleotides) under uncultured bacterium. RNAcentral's name for it is "partial 16S ribosomal RNA". It matches the Rfam family "Bacterial small subunit ribosomal RNA", at positions 562 to 791 of the family's 1533-position model. The record is from RNAcentral.
AAAGCGUGCGCAGGCGGUUCUAUAAGACAGAUGUGAAAUCCCCGGGCUCAACCUGGGAACUGCAUUUGUGACUGUAGAGCUGGAGUACGGCAGAGGGGGAUGGAAUUCCGCGUGUAGCAGUGAAAUGCGUAGAUAUGCGGAGGAACACCGAUGGCGAAGGCAAUCCCCUGGGCCUGUACUGACGCUCAUGCACGAAAGCGUGGGGAGCAAACAGGAUUAGAUACCCUUGU